AGGCAGCAGUGGGGAAUAUUGGGCAAUGGUCGAGAGACUGACCCAGCCAUGCCGCGUGCAGGAUGAAGGCUUUCUGAGUCGUAAACUGCUUUUACCAGGGGAGAAAAAAGGGGAUGCGUCCUCUACUGACGGUACCUGGUGAAUAAGCACCGGCUAACUCCGUGCCAGCAGCCGCGGUAAUACGGAGGGUGCAAGCGUUGUCCGGAUUUAUUGGGUUUAAAGGGUGCGUAGGCGGCUUUUUAAGUCUGGGGUGAAAGCCCGUUGCUCAACAACGGAACUGCCCUGGAAACUGGAGAGCUUGAGUACAGACGAGGGUGGCGGAAUGGAUACUGUAGCGGUGAAAUGCAUAGAUAGUAUCCAGAACCCCGAUUGCGAAGGCAGCUGCCUAGACUGUAACUGACGCUGAGGCACGAAAGCGUGGGGAGCGAACAGGAUUAGAUACCCUGGUAGUCCACGCCGUAAACGAUGGAUACUCGCUGCGGGCGAUAGACGGUCCGUGGCUUAGCGAAAGCGUUAAGUAUCCCACCUGGGGAGUACGCUCGCAAGAGUGAAACUCAAAAGAAUUGACGGGGGCCCGCACAAGUGGUGGAGCAUGUGGUUUAAUUCGAUGAUACGCGAGGAACCUUACCUAGGCUAGAAUGCGCGUGACCGGUCCAGAGAUGGACCUUUCCUUCGGGACACAAAGCAAGGUGCUGCAUGGCCGUCGUCAGCUCGUGCCGUGAGGUGUUGGGUUAAGUCCCGCAACGAGCGC
RNAcentral lists this ribosomal RNA (751 nucleotides) under uncultured bacterium. Its description in RNAcentral is "bacterial SSU rRNA". It matches the Rfam family "Bacterial small subunit ribosomal RNA", at positions 346 to 1099 of the family's 1533-position model. The record is from RNAcentral.